CACAGCCGGUUGUGAUAUAGCCCAGAAUCUAACCAGGGUCUGUAUAUAGCCCAGAAUCGAAUGCAGUGCCUUAGUCUGCUGCGCCACUCGGGAGCUCGAUGUGGCCCAACCUAACCGUAAAUUAUUACGUUGGAUUGGAGCAGAUAGCUUGGAUUAUUAUUAUAAACAUACAAUCUUCACUGUUUAUGAUUCAAUAAUUAAUGUUAAACUGUGUUUCUGGAGGAUUUUAGAUUUAUUAUAAUGUUCUGGUGGUCUCAUUCGUGUGCAGAUAAGACACUUUGGCCCCAUUUCAAUUUGUCAAGAACAAGAUCCUAACCCUGAGUCCUUUUUUCCCAAUGCGCUUUGAGAAAGAGAAAGAAUGUGAGGAAUCAAGGAAAGAUGAAUAAGAAAAAGGCUUUGUAUGAUCUGUCCUUGAGGGAGGAGAUAAGAGGCUCUGUGUUGGCCUUUGAACUACAAAGCAUCAAUAACAAGUUUCUCUGACGGCUAAUUGACAAUUCUGCUUUGAAGAGCCAACAGUUUUUUUUUUUAGCUAUUUAUGGGUCUGCUUUGAGUCCAUGUAUGUGUGAUCUGUGAUGUGGUCCUUAAUGCUUACAUCCGAUGUCACAACCUUUUCUGUAUCCUGUUGCUUUGUCCCCCAUUCUAUUUGCAUGCCAAGCCUUUAAUAAGCCCAGCAGCUGCCCUUUCUUCAAUUUGAAUCCUAAUGAUCACUUUCAAAGGAAAGCGGCCCUAUCUCAAGUGUAGGAAGAGCCUGUCUAAGAAGAGCCUGUUGUCUGGCUCCCACUUCAGAUGUCUUUCGAGCGGUGCCCUUCCCCGGCACUGGCCAAGAUCACCUCCAAGUUGUGUCUGGAUUUCUACAAGGACAGGGAGAGAAAUGUAUCUGAAGGAAUAAGGUAAGAGUCUCCAGGCUAAGGGGUAUGACUACUGGUCUGGUCAGUUGUAUAAUGCUUUGGGUCGAUAGAGCAGAGAAAAUGACAAUAAUACAUGCAAUAGUUUUUCUUUUUCCUAAAGGGACAAACGAUUGGGUAAAAAAAAAAUUGAGCUAGCAAAGAGAGGGUCGAUAGCAGUUCAGUUUAAAGGCAAUAACUUAAAAUGCAUUUAACCAGUUCCUUGUAGAGUUUCUUGAAUAUUGUGUAGUUGCUUGAUAAAUUAGACUAGGUUUCUUGUCCUGAAAUGCUUUCAAAGGUUAUCAGUUAUAUGUUGAGGGCAAAUAUUUGUGGUGCAGUUGUUAAAAGAAUGGAAAACUCAGUAAGUCAGGAGACGGAAAUUAUGAAUCGUGAAUAAUCUGUGAUAUUGAUUCUAAUAAUUUUCUUAAAUAAAUAGUACUGUGGAUGUUUUAACACAGUUGGCAAAUACACAAGGCUACAUAACGACAAAAAAGAUUUGAGUACAAACAAAAACAAAAAGCAAUGUAAAAAUGUCUAAAUAGUGUAUUCAACAAUGAUGUGCCAGUUAUUGUUGACAAUAGUUUUAUUUUAUUCAAGCCUGCCCUACAUCCUUUCAGUAGCAAUGGUGAUAUCCAUGUUGGAGGAGGAUUCAUGUCAGAGGGGCUCUCAUCUGGUUUUGACAGGGGCUCUCCAGUCUCACAAAAUGUCUCUGUUAAAAGUCCUAUGUUUGCUUUAGAUCUUUGUUAGCUUUUGCCCUCAACUGUAGUGCACACUGCUUUAAUUCACUUAAAAAGGCUUUAGAAAAUUGUCUUAAUGAUCAGAUAUGACACUUUACAACUUUGAGGGAGUUGAGUCAAUGUCUUUGUAUUGUAUUUGUUCAUGUUUUCUCUGCUUUCUUGCAGAUUAUUCUUGUGUUAACGCACCACCCUUUUAGCUGGACGACUGUAACACACCAUGCAUUGGCAAGUGCACAUGGUUACACUAAUAUAUGAGGUUGCUUUGGGAAACAUUUUCAUUCGAAUCUGGAUUCCUUCCUAGCAAACUCUUUGUAGUUCAUCAAUGUAAACAGUGUUAAAAGUGACAAGAUUUACCCAACUGCCUUUCCAGCAUCACAGUAUUGAAAAACCUGGACAAAAUCACCGGAUGAAUAAUACAUUCUUAGUUAACUAACAAAAACAAAAAGUUUAAUAAAAAGACAAUUAAAAACAACUAAAUAUGAAUCAAAUUUUCAAAAUGUACAGGAGCCAUUAAGUUAACCUUCCAGCGGCUCUGGGGCAUCAUCCAACUGGGUGCUACACAUUAGUAGUGUAGAGGAGUAGUUAGCCAGCUAGCUAUGGAGUCCAUAAUGAGAGGCUGAGGACAAUGAGGUGUGCUAAAGGUUCCGCACCUGUCUCUGACUGGCUCUGAUAUGACCACUGACCUCCCUCGCUGUAACCAAGACGCUCCCCCCUCCCACCACCACUUGGAUCGUUUUACUUCCGUUCUUGCCUCAACUCCCUGACUUUUACAUUUUGUAGAAUCACAUUUUAUUAAAUGAAAUGUGGUUACUUGUAUAUAUUACUGCAAUAGUUAGCUGCAAAUUUUAGCUGCCAUAGUACACAUGAAAUUAAAUAAACCAUCAUCAUCAUACAUUAAUUAUGAGGCUGGUUCUAGUCAAACCCACCAAUGCAACACUUCGGCUUGAUUCAACAGGAGACGCUUGCAAUGACCAAGACCCCGAUCACAGUAACUCAAGAGGGCAGUCCCUACCAGACAAAGCCCCUGAUGUCAUGCAGGAUUGCUACUCUGGGACUGCCCUCCACCACCAAACGUUAGUACCAGAGCAGAGCAUUAACAGCAUGUCCCCUUCCACUUCUCUGCCACUGGCUACUCUGAAUGGAGUCGCUCCACCAUGGAAAUCUCCACCAUUAAAAAUUACACUUUCCCAUCUGAGCAAUCAAGAACUCCUAUGCUUUUGUAGCCAGGUGGGUGGUACUCUUGAACUGCAGCGCGGAAGCCCACUCAUGGCCGAGUGGCAUGGGACCACGGUGGAACGUCCUAAUGACGACUGUGGCUCUGUUUGCUAUUCUCCUAGUACAAAACAUGGUUCAGGGGUGGCAGGUUUCCAGCCACGAUCAAAGCAGGGCUUCCUGAAGGACUGCCUCUCCACAUUUUCUAAGGGAACUCCUCCUUCUCUGCAGUAUACCCACUCCUAUCCUCAGAACACCCUGGCCUCAUCGUCAUCCCAGUUUUUCACGCAGACACCAAAUCAAUCAGAUCCCUCAACAGAGACCAUUGAUCACCAGCAGGAUAAUUUCAAAUCCCGAUGCAGAGGAAAAUACUGGCUGAAGGAGUAUAGUCAAUGGCAGCAGACCCAUAAUCAUUUCAAGCUUAAAGAGCAUAACCUACCACCAGUAUUGACUUCUGAAAAACCAGAACCUUCGCUCAAUAUACCUAUGAAAGGCAAUGAGUCAAGUGAAGUUAGGCAGCUCUUGGUUUUGUCUCAACCUCAGGACCAGCAGCAACCUCCCAUAGAAAGGCAACACCAAUGGAUGUUAAGGAAUGGUUUACCUAGCUGCUGUGCGAAUGAGGGUGGAGUACAUUGUGGGAGCCAACAACCUUCCUUACACCAGCAUCUACAUCAAGACCCUGAAUGGCAGCAUUGUUGUGACCAUUUUAGCACCCUAAAAUGCCAUCAGUCUUCUCUUUACCCAUCCAGCAGCCCACGAGUGAAUAAUUCAUCUGCGGCUACUAGCAACAAAAGCAGUGUUCACUCCUCUUCCAGUUGCCAUCGGUGGCCUGAGAACCAUAGUCUAGUGGGGAAAAGGCAACGACAAAGAGAGCAGAAGGUACAUCCUCAUACCAAAAAGGUUGGCCAUGUUGGAUCGAUGCCUUCCCUGUCCAAGAGCAGUGGCCCACUCCUUCCCGACACAGUUGUGACCAGCGCUAAAUACAGUGGGGAUGUUGGAAGACCCCCGAGCAGCCUUGGAGCUUCGCCACCAAACCUUUCAGAGCUGGACUCAGAGAGACAAGAGCCCCUUCAGACUCUCCAAAGGUCUGUCUUGGAGGAGGUGUUCUCAAAAGGCUUCAGCGAGAACAACAGUAAGGCCAACAGUGAAGGAGGAAGCGACACGCCACAGAAGAAGACCAAGGACAUUGGCUAUAGAUUGAGCCAGCGUAAGGCACUCUUUGGAAAGCGCAAACAGUUGAGCGACUAUGCCUUGAUCUUUGGGAUGCUUGGGAUCGUCAUCAUGGUGAUGGAGACGGAAUUGUCCUGGGGGGUUUACACGAAGGAAUCCUCAUACUCAUUCUCUCUGAAAUGCCUUAUCAGCCUUUCAACUGCUAUAUUGCUCGGACUAAUCGUGAUGUACCAUGCACGGGAAAUACAGCUCUUCAUGGUGGAUAAUGCAGUUGAUGACUGGAGGAUUGCCAUGACUUAUGAGAGGAUCUUCCUAGUUCUGCUGGAGCUGCUGGUCUGUGCCAUCCACCCCAUCCCGGGCCAGUAUGUCUUCACCUGGACGGCCCGGCUGGCCUUCACCUACAUGCCCUCAGUAACUGAUGCCGACGUGGACAUCGUCCUCUCCAUCCCCAUGUUCCUCAGGCUCUACCUGAUCAGUCGCGUCAUGCUGCUGCACAGCAAGCUCUUCACAGACGCCUCGUCGCGCAGCAUCGGCGCAAUCAACAAGAUCAACUUCAACACGCGCUUCGUCAUGAAGACUCUCAUGACCAUCUGCCCCGGCACCGUGCUGCUGGUCUUCAGUGUCUCCUGUUGGAUCAUCGCCUCAUGGACAGUGCGCAUCUGUGAGAGAUAUCAUGACACACAAGAAGUGACCAGUAACUUCCUUGGGGCCAUGUGGCUCAUCUCUGUCACCUUUCUCUCCAUUGGUUAUGGAGAUAUGGUCCCUCACACUUACUGUGGAAAGGGUGUCUGUCUGCUGACUGGAAUCAUGGGGGCUGGCUGCACUGCCAUGGUGGUUGCUGUAGUUGCGAGGAGGUCAGAGUUGACCAGAGCUGAAAAGCACGUUCACAACUUCAUGAUGGACUCUCAGCUAUACAAACGAAGUCAUGCGUCCCCCAAAACAUGACCGACCAAGCCACGCUUCUUAACACCCGCUCGCUUAACCCAGAAGCACCAAUGUGUUGGAGGAAACACUGUUCAACUGAUGACAGAAGUCAGAUUGCAGGCACCCGGCCCACCACAAGAAGUCGCUAGAAAACGAUGAGUAAAGCCCCCCCGGCCAAACCCUCCCUUAACCCGGACGACGCUGGGCCAAUUGUGCCUCGCCCUAUCGGUCUCCCAGUCAUGGCUGGUUGUGACACAGCCUGGGAUCGAAUUCCAGGCUGUAGUGACGCAGCAACACUGCGAUGCAGUGCCUUAGACCACUGCGCCACUCAGGAUGCGGACCUGUGGAUUUACUACCCAAACCUGAUAAUAUAUUUUUUAAAUAAAUAGACAUUAUAAAAAAAGAUAAUGCCCCCAAUCAGCAACCCAAUCAGCAACCCAAUAAGCAACCCAAUAAGCAAAAUGUUGUUGAAAAGGUGUAUUUGUCUAAUGUUGAAAGCAUGUUCAUUUUCAGUUCUAAGGGCAAGUUUAAAGGCCCAGUGCAGUCAACAAUGUGAUUUUCCUGUGUUUUAUAUAUAUUUUCACACUAUGAUGUUGAAAUAAUACUGGGAAAUUGUGAAUAUGAUAAUGCCCUUUUAGUAUAAGAGCUGUUUGAAAAGAAGGCCUGAAAUUUCAGUCUGUUUUGAAUGAAGUUUUGGCCUACAUAUAUAAUAAUAAUCAUUCUAUUAAAUUUAAGUUACUAUCCAAUUAGUAGAAGGCUUUCGAAGUAGUUCAUUUUCUUCUUCUACUACUUCUAUGAGUUGGCAAACAAACUGAAAGUGUGCACACUGCCACCUGGAGUGUGUUGUUUGAACAGGUAUAAAGCCAAGGUUGGUGAUUUACUGCCACCUGCAGUUAUGGAAUGUUUCCUCACAAGUAUAAUUAAUUGGCUGAUCUCUCCUGAUGACCUGGAUGGACUUAUUUAGUCAUCCAUUAACCCAUAGGAAGCCCCACUCAGUUGCCUACUUCAAAAUGGUGAAAGUCCUCAAGGGCCAUGCUAACAGGCUUUUGGGAAUUAGUGUCUAUCUAUCUCUAUGGGCAAGACAGACUCCACUGCUAGGGCAGUCCAUUAUGACAGUCUGCCAUGUCAGCCAGUCUGUCAUGUCUCUGUUUUCUGGAAUGUUCCCAAAGGUGAAAAACACAGCUGCCAAUGUACUCAGGGAGACAUGGCUGAUCUACAAACACAUGAAAUUAGUCAAGAAGAUCGAUCACGCCAGGGUACGCAAACAUCAGCGGAAAUUCCUGGAAGCCAUUCACCAAUUGCGCAGAGUCAAAA
Molecule: non-coding RNA, 6241 nt
Organism: Oncorhynchus mykiss (rainbow trout)
Lineage: Eukaryota; Metazoa; Chordata; Actinopteri; Salmoniformes; Salmonidae
Source: RefSeq, a predicted model, not a curated record